Molecule: ribosomal RNA, 743 nt
Filed under: marine metagenome
Description: bacterial SSU rRNA
Rfam family: Bacterial small subunit ribosomal RNA
Source: RNAcentral
AGAGUUUGAUCAUGGCUCAGAACGUACGCUGGCGGCACGCCUAAUACAUGCAAGUCGAACGAAGUAGCAAUACUUAGUGGCAGACGGGUGAGUAACAUGUGGGUAUCUUCCCUUUGGUGAGGAAUAACACGAGGAAACUUGUGCUAAUACCUCAUAAGUCUUUACGGAGAAAGCUUUAUGCGCCAUUGGAUGAGCCUGCACUUGAUUAGUUUGUUGGUGGGGUAAUGGCCUACCAAGACUUUGAUCAAUAGCUGAUUUGAGAGGAUGAUCAGCCACAUUGGGACUGAGACACGGCCCAAACUCCUACGGGAGGCAGCAGUAGGGAAUCUUGCACAAUGGAGGAAACUCUGAUGCAGCGAUGCCGCGUGAGUGAAGAAGGCCUUUGGGUUGUAAAGCUCUUUCGUCGGGGAAGAAAAUGACUGUACCCGAAUAAGAAGGUCCGGCUAACUUCGUGCCAGCAGCCGCGGUAAUACGAAGGGACCUAGCGUAGUUCGGAAUUACUGGGCUUAAAGAGUUCGUAGGUGGUUAAAAAAGUUGGUGGUGAAAGCCCAGAGCUUAACUCUGGAACGGCCAUCAAAACUUUUUAGCUAGAGUUUGAUAGAGGAAAGCAGAAUUUCUAGUGUAGAGGUGAAAUUCGUAGAUAUUAGAAAGAAUACCAAUUGCGAAGGCAGCUUUCUGGAUCAUUACUGACACUGAGGAACGAAAGCAUGGGUAGCGAAGAGGAUUAGAUACCCUCGUAGUCC